This 460-nucleotide ribosomal RNA is filed under the name uncultured bacterium. RNAcentral's name for it is "partial 16S ribosomal RNA". It matches the Rfam family "Bacterial small subunit ribosomal RNA", at positions 338 to 795 of the family's 1533-position model. The record is from RNAcentral.
CCUACGGGUGGCAGCAGUGAGGAAUAUUGGUCAAUGGACGAGAGUCUGAACCAGCCAAGUAGCGUGAAGGAUGACUGCCCUAUGGGUUGUAAACUUCUUUUAUAUGGGAAUAAAAUGUUCCACGUGUGGGAUUUUGUAUGUACCAUAUGAAUAAGGAUCGGCUAACUCCGUGCCAGCAGCCGCGGUAAUACGGAGGAUCCGAGCGUUAUCCGGAUUUAUUGGGUUUAAAGGGAGCGUAGGUGGAUUGUUAAGUCAGUUGUGAAAGUUUGCGGCUCCACCGUAAAAUUGCAGUUGAAACUGGCAGUCUUGAGUACAGUAGAGGUGGGCGGAAGUCGUGGUGUAGCGGUGAAAUGCUUAGAUAUCACGAAGAACUCCGAUUGCGAAGGCAGUUCACUGGACUGCAACUGACACUGAGGCUCGAAAGUGUGGGUAUCAAACAGGAUUAGAUACCCUUGUAGUC